Molecule: ribosomal RNA, 603 nt
Filed under: Staphylococcus aureus
Lineage: Bacteria; Bacillati; Bacillota; Bacilli; Caryophanales; Staphylococcaceae
Description: bacterial SSU rRNA
Rfam family: Bacterial small subunit ribosomal RNA
Source: RNAcentral
UUCGGGAAACCGGAGCUAAUACCGGAUAAUAUUUUGAACCGCAUGGUUCAAAAGUGAAAGACGGUCUUGCUGUCACUUAUAGAUGGAUCCGCGCUGCAUUAGCUAGUUGGUAAGGUAACGGCUUACCAAGGCAACGAUGCAUAGCCGACCUGAGAGGGUGAUCGGCCACACUGGAACUGAGACACGGUCCAGACUCCUACGGGAGGCAGCAGUAGGGAAUCUUCCGCAAUGGGCGAAAGCCUGACGGAGCAACGCCGCGUGAGUGAUGAAGGUCUUCGGAUCGUAAAACUCUGUUAUUAGGGAAGAACAUAUGUGUAAGUAACUGUGCACAUCUUGACGGUACCUAAUCAGAAAGCCACGGCUAACUACGUGCCAGCAGCCGCGGUAAUACGUAGGUGGCAAGCGUUAUCCGGAAUUAUUGGGCGUAAAGCGCGCGUAGGCGGUUUUUUAAGUCUGAUGUGAAAGCCCACGGCUCAACCGUGGAGGGUCAUUGGAAACUGGAAAACUUGAGUGCAGAAGAGGAAAGUGGAAUUCCAUGUGUAGCGGUGAAAUGCGCAGAGAUAUGGAGGAACACCAGUGGCGAAGGCGACUUUCUGGUCUGUA